AACUGAUACUACCUGCGGGAACCUGCGGAGGGAUCAUUACCGAAGUUACUCUUCAUACCCUUAUGUGAACCCUACCCCUCGCCGCGCGGUUGCCUCGGCGGGAGGUCGCGGGCUGGGGCUCCGGCCCCUGCCCCCGCGGCCCCCGCCGGCCGCGCCCAACUCUUCUUCUGCAAAGCGGACUGCAAGUUCUGAUUAUAUCUUGAAAAACAAGUCAAAACUUUCAACAACGGAUCUCUAGAU
Molecule: unclassified non-coding RNA, 240 nt
Filed under: soil metagenome
Description: partial contains 5.8S ribosomal RNA, internal transcribed spacer 2, and large subunit ribosomal RNA
Source: RNAcentral